CACGUAAGGGGCGAGCGUUGUUCGGAAUUAUUGGGCGUAAAGGGCACGCAGGCGGUUAUACAAGUCUGAUGUGAAAGACCUGGGCUUAACUCAGGGACCGCGUUGGAAACUGUAUGACUAGAAUCUUGGAGGGGGAGUCGGAAUCCCUAGUGUAGGGGUGAAAUCUGUUGAUAUUAGGAAGAACACCGGUGGCGAAAGCGGACUCCUGGCCGAAGAUUGACGCUGAGGUGCGAAAGCAUAGGGAGCAAACAGG
RNAcentral lists this ribosomal RNA (253 nucleotides) under uncultured bacterium. Its description in RNAcentral is "partial 16S ribosomal RNA". It matches the Rfam family "Bacterial small subunit ribosomal RNA", at positions 524 to 776 of the family's 1533-position model. The record is from RNAcentral.